UAUAAUAACAACAUGAGUAAGCUAUGCAAGUAAACUAAGUUUGGGGCCAUUUCCUGGUUCUUUGGUUCAACCACUGGCUGUUUAUUACCUCAUUUUUAGCUACUGAUGAAAUGUGCUUAUUUUAUCAUCGUAUUUUUUUUAAAGAUCCUGUAAUUUUGAAACACAGAUCCAUCUUUUUGCACCUUAAGGAUGUGCUUGGGCAG
RNAcentral lists this unclassified non-coding RNA (203 nucleotides) under Hevea brasiliensis (rubber tree). Lineage: Eukaryota; Viridiplantae; Streptophyta; Magnoliopsida; Malpighiales; Euphorbiaceae. The record is from RNAcentral.